UGGCGCAGUUUAGUUAACACGAGAAUCGUGAAAAUCGUGUUAGCAGGAGUAUGGAUCGAAAAUGAAUAUUAAAUAGUGGACAGAAAUAAGAAAUGGGUGGAAAAAUACGAAAUGUAAGUGCAGCUAGGCUAACCGCUCGGUAUGGGCAUUCUCGUCAUUUCCGGUGGCGCUCCAGUCGCCCUUCACUCUUUAAUCGGCAGAUUCGGCACAACCUGUUUAAUUUGCUGCAUGGCGCCAUUGCUCUGUCGUCCAAUCACAGGUGAGCAGCUUCCUGGUCUCGCGUGGACGAUAGGCACUCUUCCUACUGUCGAUUAGACCCAGAUGCGUUUGCCAAGCUGCGUUCAUUCCAGUGGCGACUGCAUGCAUACGGUCCGUGGAUUCAGGUUCUCCAAUCUCCACUUUUCUCGCAACUUUUAAAAAAAUUUGAUCAGAAACCGUGAUCCACUCCUAACAGUAGUUUGAAUUAUUUCUGAAAACUACUGGACAGUACUCAGUGUUUGAAAUCUCGUUGCGCUGAGUCCGAUCUGUGGUGAGUGUAAAUGUGUAGUUAGGCCUAAAGGAGUGUGCAAAAGAAUCACGCACAAAUCUAGUUUCUCCUUCCUGGAUAUCAGGGUAUAGCCACGACGCCCAACGGAGGGUGUCCAGGGUUUCGCUUCCCGUUUGGCCCCAUCCUGGAUACCAUGGAUUUUCUAAACUGGACUACUUAUUUUUGAGCUUGGAUUACGUUUCCUUAUACUGUUUUCUCGUGCUUGUUCUUUUGUUACCCUCAGGUUAUUCUUAGGUUUAUUAGGACUUGAGGUUAUAGAAAACCGAAUAUCUUUCGAGCCUAAAAAAGUCAAAAAACUUUAAAACCAUUAUUUGAACAGCACUACGUCAAUCGACCCAUUUUUGGUGAUGACCGUUAGGGAGGAGAGACUCAUCCAGAGCAUCUACCAUACAAGGCUUUUACAUAUUUAUUUAUCAUUAGUUUUGUAGAUUUCAUCUCUUUUUUGUAGAUUUCAACCCAAGAAACUUAGAAACCCUAGGAAACUUCAGAAAUCUAAUAAACUUAAUAAAACCUAAGAAAACUAAAAACCCUUAGAAACCUAAGAAUCACCUGAGAAUAAUAGAAGAAUAAGCACAAAAAACUCUAUAAGAAAUUGUAAUCCAAGCCCCAAAAUAAGUACUGGUAGUCCAAUUCAGAAAAUGCAAGUUAUCCAAGUUAAGUAAUCCAGCUUAUGUAAUCCAACUUAUUCCAAGUCCAAGUUUGAGUAAUCCAACUCCGAAUCCGAAUCCAAGGUUCAGCGCGGGCCCUCAGCGAAUAUAAAAAUGUGGAAAAAAGUCAAAGGAUUGUGGGAAUGGACAACACAGAAACAAACGAAAACAUGUAUUAUUACGGAUGAUUCCGUGGACAGCAAGUCCUGUUCCAAAAAGGGAAAGGAUGCAUCAGCUGUCUCAGCAACUGAGGAACGUGGCAUUAGAAAUUCAUUGGGAUUUUGCUGGAUUCCACUUCCAGUGCGUGUUGCGCGUCCGGAAUAAUGAACUGGACGAGGACGACGAUCGAUCUUCCUGAAAUGGUUUUCGGAACCCGGGCGGAACUGAAAUUCUUUAAUAAAUAAUAUGCUUCAGUACAAAUUAUGCCCUUUUUUCCUCAAUAUCGCUGCGUCGGCCUUCUAACGGGUACCUGAACAAAAUGCUGAUUUUCUUUCGGCUCGUUGCUAGCAGACCAUCGGUUGUGCCGUGAACAACUUUUUGAAAAUUUUGUUACUUAACUAACAAAGGCAAAAAAAUUUUAUCUGGAUAAUUGAAACCUGCUCAUUAUUAACGGCGAAAACUUAUCUUACAGGUUGAGGCCCAGAGCCAG
Paramacrobiotus metropolitanus is the source of this 1843-nucleotide long non-coding RNA. RefSeq lists it as uncharacterized. Lineage: Eukaryota; Metazoa; Tardigrada; Eutardigrada; Parachela; Macrobiotidae. The transcript has 3 exons. The record is from RefSeq and is a predicted model, not a curated record.